AGGACACAAAUAUUUACCCAGUACAGAGGGGGGAAGGGCAGCUAGACCUGAGCUUCCCAGACCUGGAGACAGACCUAACUCCCAGUCAAGACCCAAGUUGCUCACCAAGGGCUCCCAGCCCUGACCAGAGCCUUAAAUCUCCCAGUAGAACCACUCAGCUCUGUAAGACAGCUCAUGAUAAAUCUCUAUAAGGAAGUCAGAGAUGAAAACUAGGAAUCUGGGGAAUGGGUCAACUAAGAAAGAGGAUGAAGUCCUGCACUGGACAGCAGAAAUCAGCGAGGAAGAAUGUUCCCCUGCAGGUGGGAAUCACACACCGCACAAUUUCCCAGCCUCAACCCGCCCCCAAGGGGUAAACGCCAGUCCUGCAUCCUCUCUGAACACGAACCCUUCGUCCCCAACCUCUCGUGCGCUUGCGCAGGACUAGAGCGGCGCGAAACCAAAGUCGCAAGGACUAAGACUUCAUUCCCCAGAAGCCUCCGUUCAUGCAGACUCGCUUUCCCAGAAGCCACUCUGUCAAGAACACACUUCCCCUCUGCCCCCGCUCUCUCGCCAAUGCUUCCAGGUUCUCGCCCUAGAUGUUCCCAGCUCUUCCAUGACUUGAGGGAAAACAGUUGGGAGUCUGGAAGGGUCGGAACCUUUGGAGGCCUAUGGGAGAAUUCUGAGCGAAAGGAGCGGGGCCUACAUAGAAGGUGGGGGGGCAGAAAGGCGGAGCCAAUCCUUGAUCUCCGAGCGGGAGGGCCCGCGCCUGGGCUGGGGCGGGUUCUUCGGCCUACAUUGUGCCUUUGCAAGGUUACUGUGGGUAGGGUUUGGAUUUCUGGGAGGCCUUUAUCCAGUGGGGUGCGUGGGAGGGGCAGGAAGCCGGGGUCAGCAUUAGCAGACCCCUCUUAGAGGUUAUACGAGUUUGGCCUUUAAAUUAUACAGUUGGGGAAACCGGUGUCCACAGAGGCCUUUUCUUUCGCCAGGCCCUUUGGACUGUCUAAAAAACCUUACCUACGGUGGAAGCCUUAC
Molecule: non-coding RNA, 1008 nt
Organism: Phascolarctos cinereus (koala)
Lineage: Eukaryota; Metazoa; Chordata; Mammalia; Diprotodontia; Phascolarctidae
Source: RefSeq, a predicted model, not a curated record